UAAAUUAAUGCCUGCUGGUUUGGGUAAAUAGCUGUUAACUAUUUUUUGUGGGAUCGAGGCCCACUAAUUU
Molecule: transfer RNA, 70 nt
Filed under: Phrynocephalus maculatus (blacktail toadhead agama)
Lineage: Eukaryota; Metazoa; Chordata; Lepidosauria; Squamata; Agamidae
Also listed under: 1 other name
Description: tRNA-Asn
Source: RNAcentral